RNAcentral lists this transfer RNA (83 nucleotides) under Plenodomus tracheiphilus IPT5. Its description in RNAcentral is "tRNA-Thr". It matches the Rfam family "tRNA". Rfam says of the family: Transfer RNA (tRNA) molecules are approximately 80 nucleotides in length. Their secondary structure includes four short double-helical elements and three loops (D, anti-codon, and T loops). Further hydrogen bonds mediate the characteristic L-shaped molecular structure. tRNAs have two regions of fundamental functional importance: the anti-codon, which is responsible for specific mRNA codon recognition, and the 3' end, to which the tRNAs corresponding amino acid is attached (by aminoacyl-tRNA synthetases). tRNAs cope with the degeneracy of the genetic code in two manners: having more than one tRNA (with a specific anti-codon) for a particular amino acid; and 'wobble' base-pairing, i.e. permitting non-standard base-pairing at the 3rd anti-codon position. The record is from RNAcentral. Lineage: Eukaryota; Fungi; Ascomycota; Dothideomycetes; Pleosporales; Leptosphaeriaceae.
GCCCCCUUGGCUAAGUGGUAUAGCGUGUCACUAGUACGAAUUUCGGCAUGACAAGAUCGCUCGUUCGAUUCGGGCAGGGGGCA